RNAcentral lists this ribosomal RNA (819 nucleotides) under bacterium. Its description in RNAcentral is "bacterial SSU rRNA". It matches the Rfam family "Bacterial small subunit ribosomal RNA", at positions 75 to 882 of the family's 1533-position model. The record is from RNAcentral.
CUUGCUCUUAUGAAGUUAGCGGCGGAAGGAGUGAGUAACACGUGGGUAACCUGCCCAUAAGACUGGGAUAACUCCGGGAAACCGGGGCUAAUACCGGAUAACAUUUUGAACCGCAGGGUUCGAAAUUGAAAGGCGGCUUCGGCUGUCACUUAUGGAUGGACCCGCGUCGCAGUAGCUAGUUGGUGAGGUAACGGCUCACCAAGGCAACGAUGCGUAGCCAACCUGAGAGGGUGAUCGGCCACACUUUUGACUGAGACACGGCCCAGACUCCUACGGGAGGCAGCAGUAGGGAAUCUUCCGCAAUGGACGAAAGUCUGACGGAGCAACGCCGCGUGAGUGAUGAAGGCUUUCGGGUCGUAAAACUCUGUUGUUAGGGAAGAACAAGUGCUAGUUGAAUAAGCUGGCACCUUGACGGUACCUAACCAGAAAGCCACGGCUAACUACGUGCCAGCAGCCGCGGUAAUACGUAGGUGGCAAGCGUUAUCCGGAAUUAUUGGGCGUAAAGCGCGCGCAGGUGGUUUCUUAAGUCUGAUGUGAAAGCCCACGGCUCACCGUGGAGGGUCAUUGGAAACUGGGAGACUUGAGUGCAGAAGAGGAAAGUGGAAUUCCAUGUGUAGCGGUGAAAUGCGUAGAGAUAUGGAGGAACACCAGUGGCGAAAGCGACUUUCUGGUCUGUAACUGACACUGAGGCGCGAAAGCGUGAGGAGCAAACAGGAUUAGAUACCCUGGUAGUCCACGCCGUAACGAUGAGUGCUAAGUGUUAGAGGGUUUCCGCCCUUUAGUGCUGAAGUUAACGCAUAGCACUCCGCCUGGGGAGUA